Molecule: transfer RNA, 776 nt
Filed under: Granulibacter bethesdensis CGDNIH1
Lineage: Bacteria; Pseudomonadati; Pseudomonadota; Alphaproteobacteria; Acetobacterales; Acetobacteraceae
Description: partial 16S-23S ribosomal RNA intergenic spacer
Rfam family: tRNA (bases 216-289)
Source: RNAcentral
UUUCAAGGAACUGUCCUGAGUUUUAUCCAUGCGGAUGGAUGAAUUGGGAUGGUUUUAUAAGAAGUCCUUCGAUGGGAUCGUCGAAGGCACUGUCAACCUGGUGCACCUGUUCAGGCAGGAAGCGCCGUCCACGUAUCCCUUCUGCGAAAGGUGGACUGGAUUGUCAUUGAAAGAUGAUGGUCUGGUUUAUUUUUUGCUGCGACGAUAUCUGCUUGGGGCUAGUAGCUCAGCUGGUUAGAGCACACGCUUGAUAAGCGUGGGGUCGGAGGUUCAAAUCCUCCCUGGCCCACCAUGAUGAUCGGCCGCUUUUUGAGGAAGCGGCUGGUUUGAUGUGAUGGGGGUGUAGCUCAGCUGGGAGAGCACCUGCUUUGCAAGCAGGGGGUCGUCGGUUCGAACCCGAUCACCUCCACCAUUGCGUGUGGUGACUGGCGGUUUGCCGACCGGUUCCCUUAUCGUCGCAUGGGUUAAAAAUUUCCGGUGAUAGUCUGGCCCCGGUCGGGUUCUGAUAUCAUGCGGGAUGGGCCUUCUUGUUGAAGGCUCUGCUAUUUGUUCUUUGUUAUGGUGAAUAUGUUCUGGUGCGCCUCUGCGCAUGCCUUGACCGGUUGUCUGACCGGAUUGACGGGGAGACCUGUCGUCCACGGUGAAGGGUAUCAUGAUCAGAGGCGUUUAAGGUGUGCUGAGUAAAAUCACGCAGAAGCGUUGCACUGAAAGGUGUGGAUGUCUUCUGUGCAUGAUGAGCACGGAUUGGUUGACCGAUCUGUGUUAGCUCUUGAGCG